This 56-nucleotide transfer RNA is filed under the name Parascaris equorum. RNAcentral describes it as "tRNA-Pro". Lineage: Eukaryota; Metazoa; Nematoda; Chromadorea; Rhabditida; Ascarididae. The record is from RNAcentral. RNAcentral also lists the same sequence under 1 other name.
CAGUAACUAGUUUAUUUUUAAAAUAUGAUAUUUGGGUUGUCAAGAGUCUUUACUGA